GACGAACGCUGGCGGCGUGCUUAACACAUGCAAGUCGAACGGAAAGGCCCUGCUUUUGUGGGGUGCUCGAGUGGCGAACGGGUGAGUAACACGUGAGUAACCUGCCCUUGACUUUGGGAUAACUUCAGGAAACUGGGGCUAAUACCGGAUAGGAGCUCCUGCUGCAUGGUGGGGGUUGGAAAGUUUCGGCGGUUGGGGAUGGACUCGCGGCUUAUCAGCUUGUUGGUGGGGUAGUGGCUUACCAAGGCUUUGACGGGUAGCCGGCCUGAGAGGGUGACCGGCCACAUUGGGACUGAGAUACGGCACAGACUCCUACGGGAGGCAGCGGUGGGGAAUAGUGCACAAUGGGCGGAAGCCUGAUGCAGCAACGCCGCGUGCGGGAUGACGGCCUUCGGGUUGUAAACCGCUUUCGCCUGUGACGAAGCGUGAGUGACGGUAAUGGGUAAAGAAGCACCGGCUAACUACGUG
This 468-nucleotide ribosomal RNA is filed under the name uncultured bacterium. RNAcentral's name for it is "partial 16S ribosomal RNA". It matches the Rfam family "Bacterial small subunit ribosomal RNA", at positions 28 to 507 of the family's 1533-position model. The record is from RNAcentral.